RNAcentral lists this ribosomal RNA (491 nucleotides) under uncultured bacterium. Its description in RNAcentral is "partial 16S ribosomal RNA". It matches the Rfam family "Bacterial small subunit ribosomal RNA", at positions 29 to 506 of the family's 1533-position model. The record is from RNAcentral.
AGUGAACGCUGGCGGUAGGCCUAACACAUGCAAGUCGAACGGCAGCACAGUAAGAGCUUGCUCUUACGGGUGGCGAGUGGCGGACGGGUGAGGAAUACAUCGGAAUCUACUUUUUCGUGGGGGAUAACGUAGGGAAACUUACGCUAAUACCGCAUACGACCUACGGGUGAAAGCAGGGGAUCUUCGGACCUUGCGCGAUUGAAUGAGCCGAUGUCGGAUUAGCUAGUUGGCGGGGUAAAGGCCCACCAAGGCGACGAUCCGUAGCUGGUCUGAGAGGAUGAUCAGCCACACUGGAACUGGGACACGGUCCAGACUCCUACGGGAGGCAGCAGUGGGGAAUAUUGGACAAUGGGCGCAAGCCUGAUCCAGCCAUACCGCGUGGGUGAAGAAGGCCUUCGGGUUGUAAAGCCCUUUUGUUGGGAAAAAAAAGCAGCAGGUUAAUACCCCGCUGUUCUGACGGUACCCAAAGAAUAAGCACCGGCUAACUUCGU